AACGAACGCUGGCGGCAUGCCUAACACAUGCAAGUCGAACGAGACCUUCGGGUCUAGUGGCGCACGGGUGCGUAACGCGUGGGAAUCUGCCCUUCGGUUUGGAAUAACUGAGAGAAAUUUCAGCUAAUACCUUAUAAUGUCUUCGGACCAAAGAUUUAUCGCCGAGGGAUGAGCCCGCGUAGGAUUAGGUAGUUGGUGGGGUAAUGGCCUACCAAGCCGACGAUCCUUAGCUGGUCUGAGAGGAUGAUCAGCCACACUGGGACUGAGACACGGCCCAGACUCCUACGGGAGGCAGCAGUGGGGAAUAUUGGACAAUGGGCGAAAGCCUGAUCCAGCAAUGCCGCGUGAGUGAUGAAGGCCUUAGGGUUGUAAAGCUCUUUUACCCGGGAUGAUAAUGACAGUACCGAGAGAAUAAGCACCGGCUAACUCCGUG
This 433-nucleotide ribosomal RNA is filed under the name uncultured bacterium. RNAcentral's name for it is "partial 16S ribosomal RNA". It matches the Rfam family "Bacterial small subunit ribosomal RNA", at positions 29 to 507 of the family's 1533-position model. The record is from RNAcentral.